This 429-nucleotide ribosomal RNA is filed under the name uncultured bacterium. Its description in RNAcentral is "bacterial SSU rRNA". It matches the Rfam family "Bacterial small subunit ribosomal RNA", at positions 28 to 487 of the family's 1533-position model. The record is from RNAcentral.
GACGAACGCUGGCGGCAUGCCUAACACAUGCAAGUCUAGGGGUAGCAAUACCACUGGCGCACGGGUGAGUAACACGUAGGUUAUCUGCCCCCAUCACAGACAUAACCCCGGGAAACCGGGGCUAAUAUCUGAUGAGGUCGCGAGAUCAAAGCUUCGGCGGAUGGGGAUGAGCCUGCGGCUGAUUAGCUAGUUGGUGAGGUAAUGGCUCACCAAGGCGACGAUCAGUAGCUGGUCUGAGAGGACGAACAGCCACACUGGAACUGAGACACGGUCCAGACUCCUACGGGAGGCAGCAGUGAGGAAUAUUGGUCAAUGGGAGCAAUCCUGAACCAGCAAUGCCGCGUGUGGGAUGACAGGGCUUCGCCUUGUAAACCACUGUCGGACGGGACGAAAGGAGGCCUCGGGCCUCUGGGACGGUACCGUCAAAGG